This 295-nucleotide ribosomal RNA is filed under the name uncultured Prevotella sp. RNAcentral's name for it is "partial 16S ribosomal RNA". It matches the Rfam family "Bacterial small subunit ribosomal RNA", at positions 56 to 339 of the family's 1533-position model. The record is from RNAcentral. Lineage: Bacteria; Pseudomonadati; Bacteroidota; Bacteroidia; Bacteroidales; Prevotellaceae.
UGCAAGUCGAGGGGAAACGAUAGAGAAAGCUUGCUUUUUCUAGGCGUCGACCGGCGCACGGGUGAGUAACGCGUAUCCAACCUGCCCACCACUUGGGGAUAACCUUGCGAAAGUAAGACUAAUACCCCAUGGUCUCCACGGAUGGCAUCUGAAAUGGAGUAAAGGUUUCGGCCGGUUGCGGAUGGGGAUGCGUCUGAUUAGCUUGUUGGCGGGGUAACGGCCCACCAAGGCGACGAUCAGUAGGGGUUCUGAGAGGAAGGUCCCCACAUUGGAACUGAGACACGGUCCAAACUCC